This 494-nucleotide ribosomal RNA is filed under the name uncultured bacterium. RNAcentral's name for it is "partial 16S ribosomal RNA". It matches the Rfam family "Bacterial small subunit ribosomal RNA", at positions 28 to 507 of the family's 1533-position model. The record is from RNAcentral.
GACGAACGCUGGCGGCGUGCUUAACACAUGCAAGUCGAACGGUGAAGCGCCUUCCUUUUUGGUGGGUGUGGAUGAGUGGCGAACGGGUGAGUAACACGUGAGUAACCUGCCCCCUUCUUCUGGAUAACCGCAUGAAAGUGUGGCUAAUACGGGAUAUUCUGGGUCUGUCGCAUGAUGGGUCUGGGAAAGAUAUUGUUUCGGUGGGGGAUGGGCUCGCGGCCUAUCAGCUUGUUGGUGGGGUGAUGGCCUACCAAGGCGGUGACGGGUAGCCGGCCUGAGAGGGUGGGCGGUAACACUGGGACUGAGACACGGCGCAGACUCCUACGGGAGGCAGCAGUGGGGAAUAGUGCACAAUGGGCGCAAGCCUGAUGCAGCGACGCCGCGUGAGGGAUGGAGGCCUUCGGGUUGUGAACCUCUUUCGCCAGUGAAGCAGGCCUGCCUCGUUUGUGGGUGGGUUGACGGUAGCUGGAUAAGAAGCGCCGGCUAACUACGUG